RNAcentral lists this long non-coding RNA (17216 nucleotides) under Triticum aestivum (bread wheat). Its description in RNAcentral is "long non-coding RNA (TAES_LNC004997)". Lineage: Eukaryota; Viridiplantae; Streptophyta; Magnoliopsida; Poales; Poaceae. The record is from RNAcentral.
UGCGGCAGCGGGCUGCGGUGCCGGAGCACCGACCCUGCGGCGCCGGCGACCAAGGCCCAGGUCGCCAUCUCCGAGGGCUUCUACCACUACGGCAUCACGUUGGACAAGGGGUUCAACCUGCCCAUGGAUCUCACGUGCAGCUCCGGCGACGCGCUCCGGUGCCGGGAGGACGGGUGCCACGACGCGUUCCCGUACGUGAAGUACAACGACCACUCAUGCACCGCCGCCGGCAGCCGGCUCCAGAUCGUCUUCUGCCCAUGAUGAGCUAGCUAGCGGCAGAACGUAAACAUAUAACCUACACAUAUACUACGUGUAGUAGUACAUACUUAGACGUGUCAUGUAUUCUCAGCGGUACGUACGUACACGUAUGAACGCACGUGCCAGUUUCCAAGAAAAUUGCCAUGUGUGAUGUGCCUUUGAUAUAUUGUUCUUUUUUAUCGAAUGCCUUUGAUAUAUUGUUCUUUUUUAUCGAAUGCCUUUGAUAUAUUCUUUACGGGAAUUUACACACAAAAGAACGUGAAUUUAAACAAGAUAGCCUACAAAUAUGUAUGUUUUUCCACACACAAAAAAUAUAUGGAUGUUCUAACAUUGGGACUCAGCUUGAUUUUUUUUUUCGAGGGGUGGGACUCAGGUUGAUGGUCAGGGUCUCAAAUGGCAUGGCCAUGAUUUUUAGAGAGGUUGAGCCAGGAUAUGUGAUUGGGGCAUGAUACCAGCUUUUUUUUCCAACCGGGCUCACAAACCCUUUCCAUUAAUUUUGCAAUCAACGGAAAUACAUCAGUCUGAUUUCAAGUUCUGUAUCGAGCAUCCACUUGCUAAAGAUAACUAGACUGAAAGAUAGAACUAACCGCAAGCAAAAUGAGACUGAAAGAGGAGAGCAGGUUGGUGCAUCAUCAGGAAACCCAUCGCCGGACAAUCCUGGAACGGACCAUCCGCCGUGGCGCGAAAACCUGAUGACACUUACAAGCAACUGCCCAACGAAAAUACCCAAGGUUCCCAGGAUGAAACUGCCAGUAAGCCUCUACGACUAGGCGAACCACAACCAGGAAGCACAAUUGCCAGCUGGCAUCAAAACCCAGUGGACAACAGAACGCAAAAGGAAAGAUCCAAGCGCCGAUUUCAUCUAACCAAUCUGGAUCCCAUCUCUGUCUCCCAAGAGAAGUCUGCCACGAGGGAAGGACCUGUCCGCCAGCGCAGCAGCCGCGUGAGCUAACCUCUUCACUCCAGCUUGGAACUUCACCUUCUCAUCCUCCUUAAGCAGACCUCACUAGUAGAAAAAGGGUCAAACGUGAAGCACAUUAGUGCCGGUUUGUAUUUGAGCCGGUACUAAUGGUACCAUUAGUGCCGGUUCGAACGGAUUUGCAUUAAUGCCGGUUCGUGUUGAACCUUUAGUACCGGUUCGUGGCACGAACCGGUACUAAAGGGGUGGUGGCAGGCUGGCGUCAGGCCGGGGCCCCACGAUCACCUUUAGUACCGGUUCGUGGUACGAACCGGUACUAAAGGUCUAACCUUUAGUACCGGUUCAUGCCAUGAACCGGCACUAAAGGGGUCUGACCUAUAGUACCGGUUGGAGACACAAACCGGCAUUAUAGGGCAAUUUUCAAACUUGAAAAAAUCAUAACUAAAUCAUCGUAAUUCAGAAAAAUACAUAUAAUAUAUCAAAAUAUGCAGACUUUUAAGGAAGAAAUUAGGAAGGCUAUACAGGGAAAAUGCGUGAAGGUUCUCGCAGAGUGUGUUCCUUUAAUCUCACCAACCAGUUAGCUUAGGAUGUGCGAAUCAACAUGUGGUUGGACGGUUAGAGGGACAGUAGUAUCCACAGCCCAUCAGGGUUUAAGUCCUGGUGCUCACAUUAUUUCUGGAUUUAUUUUAGGAUUUCUGGCGUUGUGCUUUCAGCAGGAGGAGACGUUCCUGUCGACAACGAGGCGCCUACGGUGACUUUGUAAAUGUCAAGAUGAUAUACUGGCUAGGUCUCUCGUAGGUGCUCAUAGGGGUAGGAAUGUGCAUGUGUGCAUUCAUAGGGGUGAGCGUAUGUGCGUAUGUUUGAGCACUUGCGUCUAUACUAUGCUAAAAAACAGAUAGCUCGGAAUGUGUGUUAUGCUAUAUGUAUAUAACCUAGUUUCCGCUAUAAAGGGCCCGUGCUUUGCAAUGUGAAAACCCGCGAAAGUUGACCUCGGUACCAAUUGGCAGGAUCUCACAGACCUGCGAGGGCCCCACUUGCCACCCUUCCUUCCCACCGACACGGAGCCUCCAAGUAUACUCUUCAUCCACAUGUUGUGUGGCUCAGACAUGGAAGAAAAUACACUGUAAUCGUGCAUGCUUGUUGUCCUGAAUGAAGAUACAUAAAUUUACAGAAUAUUUUUAAUACAGGUUGAAUUUUUUUGAAGUACACAUUGUCAAUUUUUUUAAUGCAUGACGAACAUAUUUCGAAAACACGUUUGCAGUUUUUUAAUACAUGUGAAACAUUUUUGGAAAACAUGUUUACAAUUUUAUAAUAUACAGGAGGUGCUCUCCGGUCUAGCUGAAGCUGAAGAGGUGCAAUUCGGUCUAACUUAGGACGAAGACAGGUCUUCGGUGUACUGUAGACUGAAGAGCUCCGAAGUCGGGCCGAAAAGAACUCUUCGGUCUACGCUUGGCCGAAGAGUGCACUUCGGUUUAAGCCAAGCCGAAGUGUCCUCUGACGCCCACCUCUUCGCGUGAACUGAAGACCGAAGUUGCAUGGAACCACACUUCGGUUUACACUUGGCUGAAGAGGACCUCUUGGGUUUAUACUAGGCUGAAGAGUGACCUUUUCCCGCCAGGCCUUUUCCGCCAUCUGUAAUGUAUCUUUCCCUCCAUUUGUUCACGCCAUUUUCUUUCCCUCCACUGUUUCCUUCCAUCCUCUUUCCCGCCCAAUUUUCCUGCCAACCCCUUACCCUCAUUCUUUAAAACCAGACCCCUUGCAUGUUGUUUUCUGCAUCUUUCCUUAGCAAUAUUUUCAGUCAUGUCCGACGAAAAUUCCGGUGGUUUUACUCCACUAAUGUCUCAUUUGCCCUUGUGCAAUGCAUCAAGAAUUCAUAGGCAUAGUAUGGGGUGUGUGUGAAUCAAAUAUACCCUAGAGGCAAUAAUAAAGUUAUUAUUUAUUUCCUUAUUUCAUGAUAAAUGUUUAUUAUUCAUGCUAGAAUUGUAUUAACCGGAAACAUAAUACAUGUGUGAAUACAUAGACAAACAAAGUGUCACUAGUAUGCCUCUACUUGACUAGCUCGUUGGUCAAAGAUGGUUAUGUUUCCUAACCAUCGACACGAGUUGUCAUUUGAUUAACGGGAUCACAUCAUUGGGAGAAUGAUGUGAUUGACUUGACCAAUUCCGUUAGCUUAGCACACGAUCGUUUAGUAUGUUGCUAUUGCUUUCUUCAUGACGUAUACAUGUUCCUAUGACUAUGAGAUUAUGCAACUCCCAUUUACCAGAGGAACACUUUGUGUGCUACCAAAUGUCACAACGUAACUGGGUGAUUAUAAAGAUGCUCUACAAGUGUCUCCGAAGGUACUUGUUGGGUUGGCGUAUUUCGAGAUUAGGAUUUGUCACUUCGAUUGUCGGAGAGGUAUCUUUGGGUCCUCUUGGUAAUGCACAUCACUUAAGCCUUGCAAGCAAUGCAACUAAUGAGUUAGUUGCGGGAUGACGUAUUACGAAACGAGUAAAGAGACUUGCCAGUAACGAGAUUGAACUAGGUAUUGAGAUACCGGCGAUCGAAUCUCGGGCAAGUAACAUACCGAUGACAAAGGGAACAACGUAUGUUGUUAUGCAGUCUGACCGAUAAAGAUCUUCGUAGAAUAUGUAGGAGCCAAUAUGAGCAUCCAGGUUCCGCUAUUGGUUAUUGACUGGAGACGUGUCUCGGUCAUGUCUACAUUGUUCUUGAACCCGUAGGGUCGGCACGCUUAAGGUUUCGAUGACAAUUAUAUUAUGAGUUUAUAAGUUUUGAUGUACCGAAGGAGUUCGGAGUCCCGGAUGAGAUCGAGGACAUAACGAGGAGUCUCGAAAUGGUCGAGACAUAAAGACCGAUAUAUUGGACGACCAUAUUCGGACAUCGGAAAGGUUCCGAGUGAUUCGGGUUUUUUUCGGACUACCGGAGAGUUACGGGAAUUCGCCGGGGAGUAUAUGGGCCUUAUUGGGCCACACGGGAAUAGAGGAGAGAGGCCAAAAGGAAGGAGGCCCCCCCUCUGGUCCUAAUUGGACAAGGGGUGCAACAACAACAUACAACUAUCUAGAUAAAGCAUUUAAAUGCAACAACAAAUGCGACCAAAAUUGCAACUAAGGUAAUUAUUGAUCCAAUAGCAUAAUGAUACCAAGCCUAUUUAUUAGCGGCAUAUUUUCUAAACUUUCUAAUCUUCAAGCGCAUUGCAUCCAUCUUGAUCUUUGGAUCAUCGACGACAACAGCAACAUACAAAUCCAAUUUCAUCUUCUCUUCUCAAUUCUUUUUAAUUUUUCUUUCAAAUACUCAUUUUCUUUUUCAACUAAAUUUAACUUCUCGACAAGAGGGUCGGUGGCAAUUUCUGGUUCACAUACCUCCUAGAUAAAAGUAUAUAUGUGAGCUUGAUGGGCAUAAUUGUCAUAAACACGAAAUGCAACAAAUAGUUAUAAAGAUAUUAUACCACAUCCGAAUCAUAAAUCGGACAAGGGCCAUCGGCGAAGGAUAUCAAAACCAUGGCACUACGUAUAACAAACAAUCAUACAAGUAAGAAAAUUAUACAAGCAACUAUCUAAAUGAUAGAAAUAAGAUUUCUUUGCACAAAAAGGAUAAGAACAAAAGCCUCACCAAGGAGGUGUCGGCGACGGGACGGCGUGGGCGAUCGAUGGCGGUGAGGACGGGAAGGCAGUAGUUAAACCACACCUACACAUAUGGAAACUAAGAAGUUAAUUUGAGCUCAAAUUACAUAUAAAUCAAAUAAACUCCCACAUAAUUACUCCCAAACAAAAACCCACAAAUGACUAUACUUAUACAGCAUGAAACAAGCUGAACUAGCAAUGAGAGAGGAAAGGACAAAGUUACUAACCUUUUAAACACUUGUAUAGAUGGGGUGCCUCAAAUCUUAACAAAUCUUGGCAGUUAGAUGACACCACUACACUACACACGGUAGGAGUUAUCUUGAACGAAACACAAGGGAAAAAAGUCGGACCCGACAAAGGUCGUCCAGGUAGGUAGCCAUCUUUGAAUUGAAUGAGUGUUCUCCAAAGUAGCUAGCUCGGUGAGAUGAUCAACAUCUUCAUCACGAACCCUAUAUAAACGCCAAGCUCCAUGAGCUCAGUCCCAGCACACACACACCCACAGUUCCACCUAAUAUAAUGGCCGGAAGCGCGAGCGCCACUCCAGUCCUCCUCGUCGUCGUGGUCGUGGCCCUCGCCGCGGGGGCCAGCACGACAUCGACGCUGACGCUGCUCAGCAUCACCAACCGGUGCUCCUUCACGGUGUGGCCGGCGGUGGCCUCCACAGGCCUCGGCACCGAGCUCCAUCCGGGAGCCAACUGGACCGUGGACGCGUCGGCGAUCCACUACACCGCGGACAUAUGGGGGCGCACGGGCUGCUCCUUCGACGUGGCAGGCAGGGGGCGGUGCCAGACGGCGGACUGCAGCAGCGGGCUGCGGUGCCGGAGCACCGACCCUGCGGCGCCGGCGACCAAGGCCCAGGUCGCCAUCUCCGAGGGCUUCUACCACUACGGCAUCAGGUUGGACAAGGGGUUCAACCUGCCCAUGGAUCUCACGUGCAGCUCCGGCGACGCGCUCCGGUGCCGGGAGGACGGGUGCCACGACGCGUUCCCAUACGUGAAGUACAACGACCACUCAUGCACCACCGCCGGCAGCCGGCUCCAGAUCGUCUUCUGCCCAUGAUGAGCUAGCUAGCUAGCGGCAGAACGUAAACAUAUAACCUACAAUAUACUACAUGUAGUAGUACAUACUCAGACGUGUCAUGUAUUCUCAGCGGUACGUACGUACACGUAUGAACACACGUGCGAGUUUCCAAUAAAAUUGCCAUGUGUGAUGUGCCUUUGAUAUAUUGUUCUUUUUUAUCGAAUGCUUUUGAUAUAUUGUUCUUUUUUAUUGAAUGCCUUUGAUAUAUUGUUUACGGGAAUUUACACACAAAAGAACGUGAAUUUGAACAAGAUAGCCUACAAAUAUGUAUGUUUUUCCACACACACAAAAUAUAUGUAUGUUCUAACAUUGGGACUUAGCUUGAAUAUUUUUUUUCGAGGGGUGGGACUCAGGUUGAUGGUCAGGGUCUCAAAUGGCAUGGCCACGAUUUUUAGAGAGGUUGAGCCAGGAUAUGUUAUUGGGGCAUGAUACCAGCUUUUUUUCCAACCGGGCUCACAACCCCUUUCCAUUAAUUUUGCAAUCAACGGAAAUACAUCAGUCUGGUUUCAAGUUCUGUAUCGAGCAUCCACUUGCUAAAGAUAACUAGACUGAAAGAUAGAACUAACCGCAAGCAAAAUGAGACUGAAAGAGGAGAGCAGGUUGGUGCAUCAUCAGGAAACCCAUCGUCGGACAAUCCUGGAACGGACCAUCCGCCGUGGCGCGAAAACCUGAUGACACUUACAAGCAACUGCCCAACCAAAAUACCCAAGGUUCCGAGGAUGAAACUGCCAGUAAGCCUCUACGACUAGGCGAAGCACAACCAGGAAGCACAAUUGCCAGCGGGCAUCAAACCCCAGUGGACAACAGAACGCAAAAGGAAAGAUCCAAGCGCCAAUUUCAUCUAACCAAUCUGGAUCCCAUCUCUGUCUCCCAAGAGAAGUCGCCACGAGGGAAGGACCUGUCCGCCAGCGCAGCAGCCGCGUGAGCUAACCUCUUCACUCCAGCUUGGAACUUCACCUUCUCAUCCUCCUUAAGCAGACCUCACUAGUAGAAAAAGGGUCAAACGUGAAGCACAUUAGUGCCGGUUUGUAUUUGAGCCGGUACUAAUGGUACCAUUAGUGCCGGUUCGAACGGAUUUGCAUUAAUGCCGGUUCGUGUUGAACCUUUAAUACCGGUUCGUGGCACGAACCGGUACUAAAGGGGUGGUGGCAGGCUGGCGUCAGGCCGGGGCCCCACGAUCACCUUUAGUACCGGUUCGUGGCACGAACCGGUACUAAAGGGGUCUGACCUAUAGUACCGGUUGGAGACACAAACCGGCACUAUAGGGCAAUUUUCAAACUUGAAAAAAUCAUAACUAAAUCAUCGUAAUUCAGUAAAAUACAUAUAAUAUAUCAAAAUAUGCAGACUUUUAAGGAAGAAAUUAGGAAGGCUAUACAGGGAAAAUGCGUGAAGGUUCUCGCAGAGUGUGUUCCUUUAAUCUCACCAACCAGUUAGCUUAGGAUGUGCGAAUCAAUCUGUGGUUGGACGGUUAGAGGGACAGUAGUAUCCACAGCCCAUCAGGGUUUAAGUCCUGGUUCUCACAUUAUUCCUGGAUUUAUUUUAGGAUUUCUGGCGUUGUGCUUUCAGCGGGAGGAGACGUUCCUGUCGACAACGAGGCGCCUACGGUGACUUUGUAAAUGUCAAGAUGAUAUACUGGCUAGGUCUCUCGUAGGUGCUCAUAGGGGUAGGAAUGUGCAUGUGUGCAUUCAUAGGGGUGAGCGUAUGUGCGUAUGUUUGAGCACUUGCGUCUAUACUAUGCUAAAAAAUAGAUAGCUCGGAAUGUGUGUUAUGCUAUAUGUAUAUAACCUAGUUUCCGCUGUAAAGGGCCCGUGCGUUGCAAUGUGAAAACCCGCGAAAGUUGACCUCGGUACCAAUUGGCAGGAUCUCACAGACCUGCGAGGGCCCCACUUGCCACCCUUCCUUCCCACCGACACGGAUCCUGCAAGUAUACUCUUCAUCCACGUGUUGUGUGGCUCAAACAUGGACGAAAAUACACAGUAAUCGUGCAUGCUUGUCGUCCUGAAUGAAGAUACAUAAAUUUACAGAAUAUUUUUAAUACAGGUUGAAUUUUUUUGAAGUACACGUUGUCAAUUUUUUGAAUGCAUGACGAACAUAUUUCGAAAACACGUUUGCAGUUUUUUAAUACAUGUGAAACAUUUUUGGAAAACAUGUUUACAAUUUUAUAAUAUACAGGAGGUGCUCUUCGGUCUAGCUGAAGCCGAAGAGGUGCUCUUCGGUCUAACUUAGGCCGAAGACAGGUCUUCGGUGUACUGUAGACUGAAGAGCUCCGAAGCCGGGCUGAAAAGAACUCUUCGGUCUACGCUUGGCCGAUGAGUGCACUUCGGUUUAAGCCAAGCCGAAGUGUCCUCUGAGGCCCACCUCUUCCCGUGAACUGCAGACCGAAGUUGCAUGGCACCACACUUCGGUUUACACUUGGCUGAAGAGGACCUCUUCGGUUUAUACUAGGCUGAAGAGUGACCUUUUCCCGCCAAGCCUUUUCCGCCAUCUGUAAUGUAUCUUUCCCUCCAUUCGUUCACGCCAUUUUCUUUCCCUCCACUGUUUCCUUCCAUCCUCUUUCCCGCCCAAUUUUCCUGCCAACCCCUUACCCUCAUUCUAUAAAACCAGACCCCUUGCCUGUUGUUUUCUGCAUCUUUCCUUACCAAUAUUUUCAGUCAUGUCCGACGACAAUUCCGGCGGUUUUACUCCACUAAUGUCUCAUUUUCCCUUGUGCAAUGCCUCAAGAAUGCAUAGGCCUAGUAUGGGGUGUGUGUGGAGGAAAUAUACCCUAGAGGCAAUAAUAAAGUUAUUAUUUAUUUCCUUAUUUCAUGAUAAAUGUUUAUUAUUCAUGCUAGAAUUGUAUUAACCGGAAACAUAAUACAUGUGUGAAUACAUAGACAAACAAAGUGUCACUAGUAUGCCUCUACUUGACUAGCUCGUUGGUCAAAGAUGGUUAUGUUUCCUAACCAUAGACACGAGUUGUCAUUUGAUUAACGGGAUCACAUCAUUAGGAGAAUGAUGUGAUUGACUUGACCCAUUCCGUUAGCUUAGCACACGAUCGUUUAGUAUGUUGCUAUUGCUUUCUUCAUGACUUAUACAUGUUCCUAUGACUAUGAGAUUAUGCAACUCACAUUUACCAGAGGAACACUUUGUGUGCUACCAAACGUCACAACGUAACUGGGUGAUUAUAAAGGUGCUCUGCAAGUGUCUCUGAAGUUACUUGUUGGGUUGGCGUAUUUCGAGAUUAGGAUUUGUCACUUCGAUUGUCGGAGAGGUAUCUCUGGGUCCUCUUGGUAAUGCACAUCACUUAAGCCUUGCAAGCAAUGCAACUAAUGAGUUAGUUGCGGGAUGAUGUAUUACGGAACGAGUAAAGAGACUUGCCAGUAACGAGAUUGAACUAGGUAUUGAGAUACCGACGAUCGAAUCUCGGGCAAGUAACAUAUCGAUGACAAAGGGAACAACGUAUGUUAUGCAGUCUGAUCGAUAAAGAUCUUCGUAGAAUAUGUAGGAGCCAAUAUGAGCAUCCAGGUUCCGCUAUUGGUUAUUGACUGGAGACAUGUCUCGGUCAUGUCUACAUUGUUCUCGAACCCGUAGGGUCCGCACGCUUAAGUUUUCGAUGACAGUUAUAUUAUGAGUUUAUAAGUUUUGAUGUACCGAAGGAGUUCGGAGUCCCGGAUGAGAUCGAGGACAUGACGAGGAGUCUCGAAAUGGUCGAGACAUAAAGAUCGAUAUAUUGGACGACCAUAUUCGGACAUCGGAAAGGUUCCGAGUGAUUCGGGUAUUUUUCGGCCUACCGAAGAGUUACGGGAAUUCGUCGGGGAGUAUAUGGGCCUUAUUGGGCCAUACGGGAAUAGAGGAGAGAGGCCAAAAGGAAGGAGGCCCCCCCUCUGGUCCGAAUUGGACAAGGGGUGCAACAACAACAUACAACUAUCUAGAUAAUGCAUUUAAAUGCAACAAUAAAUGUGAUCAAAAUUGCAACUAAGGUAAUAAUUGAUCCAAUAGCAUAAUGAUACCAAGCCUAUUUAUUAGCGGCAUAUUUUCUAAACUUUCUAAUCUUCAAGCGCAUUGCAUCCAUCUUGAUCUUUGGAUCAUCGACGACAACAGCAACAUACAAAUCCAAUUUCAUCUUCUCUUCUCAAUUCUUUUUAAUUUUUCUUUCAAAUACUCAUUUUCUUUUUCUACUAAAUUUAACUUCUCGACAAGAGGGUCGGUGGCAAUUUCUGGUUCACAUACCUCCUAGAUAAAAAUAUAUAUGUCAGCUUGAUGGGCAUAAUUGUCAUAAACACGAAAUGCAACAAAUAGUUAUAAAAGAUAUUAUACCACAUCCGAAUCAUAAAUCGGACAAGGGCCGUCGGCGAAGGAUAUCAAAACCAUGGCACUACGUAUAACAAACAAUCAUACAAGUAAGAAAAUUAUACAAGCAACUAUCUAAAUCAUAGAAAUAAGAUUUCUUUGCACAAAAAGGAUAAGAACAAGAGCCUCACCAAGGAGGUGUCGGCGACGGGACGGCGCGGGCGACCGAUGGCGGUGAGGACGGGAAGGCAGUAGUUAAACCACACCUACACAUAUGGAAACUAAGAAGUUAAUUUGAGCUCAAAUUACAUAUAAAUCAAAUAAACUCCCACAUAAUUACUCCCAAACCAAAACCCACAAAUGACUAUACUUAUACAGCAUGAAACAAGCUAAACUAGCAAUGAGAGAGGAAAGGACAAAGUUACUAACCUUUUAAACACUUAGAUAGAUGGGGUGCCUCAAAUCUUAACAAAUCUUGGCAGUUAGAUGACACCACUACACUACACACGGUAGGAGUGAUCUUGAACGAAACACAAGGGAAAAAAGUCGGACCCGACAAAGGUCGUCCAGGUAGGUAGCCAUCUUUGAAUUGAAUGAGUGUUCUCCAAAGUAGCUAUCUCGGUGAGAUGAUCGACAUCUUCAUCACGAACCCUAUAUAAACGCCAAGCUCCAUGAGCUCAGUCCCAGCACACACACACCCAUAGUUCCACCUAAUAUAAUGGCCGGAAGCGCGAGCGCCACUCUGGUCCUCCUCGUCGUCGUGGUCGCGGCCCUCGCCGUGGGGGCCAGCGCGACAUCGACGCUGACGCCGCUCAGCAUCACCAACCGGUGCUCCUUCACGGUAUGGCCGGCGGUGGCCUCCGCAGGCCUCGGCACGGAGCUCCAUCCGGGAGCCAACUGGACCGUGGACGCGUCGGCGAUCCACUACACCGCGGACAUAUGGGGGCGCACGGGCUGCUCCUUCGACGCGGCAGGCAGGGGACGGUGCCAGACGGUGGACUGCGGCAGCGGGCUACGGUGCCGGAGCAACGACCCUGCGGCGCCGACGACCAAGGCCCAGGUCGCCAUCUCCGAGGGCUUCUACCACUACGGCAUCAUGUUGGACAAGGGGUUCAACCUGCCCAUGGAUCUCACGUGCAGCUCCGGCGACGCGCUCCGGUGCCGGGAGGACGGGUGCCACGACGCGUUCCCGUACGUGAAGUACAACGACCACUCAUGCACCGCCGCCGGCAGCCGGCUCCAAAUCAUCUUCUGCCCAUGAUGAGCUAGCUAGCGGCAGAAUGUAAACAUAUAACCUACACAUAUACUACGUGUAGUAGUACAUACUCAGACGUGUCAUGUAUUCUCAGCGGUACGUACGUACACGUAUGAACGCACGUGCGAGUUUCCAAUAAAAUUGCCAUGUGUGAUGUGCCUUUGAUAUAUUGUUCUUUUUUAUCGAAUGCCUUUGAUAUAUUGUUCUUUUUUAUUGAAUGCCUUUGAUAUAUUGUUUACGGGAAUUUACACACAAAAGAACGUGAAUUUGAACAAGAUAGCCUACAAAUAUGUAUGUUUUUCCACACACAAAAAAUAUAUGUAUGUUCUAACAUUGGGACUCAGCUUGAUUUUUUUUUCGAGGGGUGGGACUCAGGUUGAUGGUCAGGGUCUCAACUGGCAUGGCCACGAUUUUUAUAGAGAUUGAGCCAGGAUAUGUGAUUGGGGCAUGAUACCAGCUUUUUUUCCAACCGGGCUCACAACCCCUUUCCAUUAAUUUUGCAAUCAACGGAAAUACAUCAGUCUGGUUUCAAGUUCUAUAUCGAGCAUCCACUUGCUAAAGAUAACUAGACUGAAAGAUAGAACUGACCGCAAGCAAAAUGAGACUGAAAGAGGAGAGCAGGUUGGUGCAUCAUCAGGAAACCCAUCGUCGGACAAUCCUGGAACGGACCAUCCGUCGUGGCGCGAAAACCUGAUGACACUUACAAGCAACUGCCCAACCAAAAUACCCAAGGUUCCCAGGAUGAAAUUGCCAGUAAGCCUCUACGACUAGGCGAACCACAACCAGGAAGCACAAUUACCAGCGGGCAUCAAACCCCAGUGGACAACAGAACGCAAAAGGAAAGAUCCAAGCGCCGAUUUCAUCUAACCAAUCUGGAUCCCAUCUCUGUCUCCCAAGAGAAGUCUGCCACGAGGGAAGGACCUGUCCGCCAGCGCAGCAGCCGCGUGAGCUAACCUCUUCACUCCAUCUUGGAACUUCACCUUCUCAUCCUCCUUAAGCAGACCUCACUAGUAGAAAAAGGGUCAAACGUGAAGCACAUUAGUGCCGGUUUGUAUUUGAGCCGGUACUAAUGGUACCAUUAGUGCCGGUUCGAACGGAUUUGCAUUAAUGCCGGUUCGUGUUGAACCUUUAGUACCGGUUCGUGGCACGAACUGGUACUAAAGGGGUGGUGGCAGGCUGGCGUCAGGCCGGGGCCCCACGAUCACCUUCAGUACGGGUUCGUGGCACGAACCGGUACUAAAGGUCUAACCUUUAGUACCGGUUCGUGCCAUGAACCGGUACUAAAGGGGUCUGACCUAUAGUACCGGUUGGAGACACAAACCGGCACUAUAGGGCAAUUUUCAAACUUGAAAAAAUCAUAACUAAAUCAUCGUAAUUCAGAAAAAUACAUAUAAUAUAUCAAAAUAUGCAGACUUUUAAGAAAGAAAUUAGGAAGGCUAUACAGGGAAAAUGCGUGAAGGUUCUCGCAGAGUGUGUUCCUUUAAUCUCACCAACCAGUUAGCUUAGGAUGUGCGAAUCAACCUGUGGUUGGACGGUUAGAGGGACAAUAGUAUCCACAACCCAUCAUGGUUUAAGUCCUGGUGCUCACAUUAUUCCUGGAUUUAUUUUAGGAUUUCUGGCGUUGUGCUUUCAGCGGGAGGAGACGUUCCUGUCGACAACGAGGCGCCUACGGUAACUUUGUAAAUGUCAAGAUGAUAUACUGGCUAGGUCUCUCGUAGGUGCUCAUAGGGGUAGGAAUGUGCAUGUGUGCAUUCAUAGGGGUGAGCGUAUGUGCGUAUGUUUGAGCACUUGCGUCUAUACUAUGCUAAAAACAGAUAGCUCGGAAUGUGUGUUAUGCUAUAUGUAUAUAACCUAGUUUCCGCUGUAAAGGGCCCGUGCGUUGCAAUAUGAAAACCCGCGAAAGUUGACCUCGGUACCAAUUGGCAGGAUCUCACAGACCUGCGAGGGCCCCACUUGCCACCCUUCCUUCCCACCGACACGGAGCCUCCAAGUAUACUCUUCAUCCACGUGUUGUGUGGCUGAGACAUGGACAAAAAUACACAGUAAUCGUGCAUUCUUGUCGUCCUGAAUGAAGAUACAUAAAUUUACAGAAUAUUUUUAAUACAGGUUGAAUUUUUUUGAAGUACACGUUGUCAAUUUUUUGAAUGCAUGACGAACAUAUUUCGAAAACACGUUUGCAGUUUUUUAAUACAUGUGAAACAUUUUUGGAAAACAUGUUUACAAUUUUAUAAUAUACAGGAGGUGCUCUUCGGUCUAGCUGAAGCCGAAGAGGUGCUCUUCGAUCUAACUUAGGCCGAAGACAGGUCUUCGGUGUACUGUAGACUGAAGAGCUCCGAAGUCGGGCCAAAAAGAACUCUUCGGUCUACGCUUGGCUGAAGAAUGCACUUCGGUUUAAGCCAAGCCGAAGUGUCCUCUGAGGCCCACCUCUUCGCGUGAACUGCAGACCGAAGUUGCAUGGCAGCACACUUCGGUUUACACUUGGCUGAAGAGGACCUCUUUGGUUUAUACUAGGCUGAAGAGUGACCUUUUCCCGCCAAGCCUUUUCCGCCAUCUGUAAUGUAUCUUUCCCUCCAUUUGUUCACGCCAUUUUCUUUCCCUCCACUGUUUCCUUCCAUCCUCUUUCCUGCCCAGUUUUCCUGCCAACCCCUUACCGUCAUUCUAUAAAACCAGACCUCUUGCCUGUUGUUUUCUGAAUCUUUCCUUAGCAAUAUUUUCAGUCAUGUCCGACGACAAUUCCGGCGGUUUUACUCCACUAAUGUCUCAUUUGCCCUUGUGCAAUGCCUCAAGAAUGCAUAGGCCUAGUAUGGGGGGUGUGUGAAGGAAAUAUACCCUAGAGGCAAUAAUAAAGUUAUUAUUUAUUUCCUUAUUUCAUGAUUAAUAUUUAUUAUUCAUGCUAGAAUUGUAUUAACCGGAAACAUAAUACAUGUGUGAAUACAUAGACAAACAAAGUGUCACCAGUAUGCCUCUACUUGACUAGCUCGUUGGUCAAAGAUGGUUAUGUUUCCUAACCAUAGACACGAGUUGUCAUUUGAUUAACGGGAUCACAUCAUUAGGAGAAUGAUGUGAUUGACUUGACCCAUUCCGUUAGCUUAGCACACGAUCGUUUAGUAUGUUGCUAUUGCUUUCUUCAUGAAUUAUACAUGUUCCUAUGACUAUGAGAUUAUGCAACUCCCAUUUACUAGAGGAACACUUUGUGUUCUACCAAACGUCACAACGUAACUGGGUGAUUAUAAAGGUGCUCUACAAGUGUCUCUGAAGGUACUUGUUGGGUUGGCGUAUUUCGAGAUUAGGAUUUGUCACUUCGAUUGUCGGAGAGGUAUCUCUGGGUCCUCUUGAUAAUGCACAUCACUUAAGCCUUGCAAGCAAUGCAACUAAUGAGUUAGUUGCGGGAUGAUGUAUUACGGAACGAGUAAAGAGACUUGCCAGUAACGAGAUUGAACUAGGUAUUGAGAUACCGACGAUCGAAUCUCGGGCAAGUAACAUACCGAUGACAAAGGGAACAACGUAUGUUGUUAUGCUGUCUGACCGAUAAAGAUCUUCGUAGAAUAUGUAGGAGCCAAUAUGAGCAUCCAGGUUCCGCUAUUGGUUAUUGACUGGAGACGUGUCUCGGUCAUGUCUACAUUGUUCUCGAACCCGUAGGGUCCGCACGCUUAAGGUUUCGAUGACAGUUAUAUUAUGAGUUUAUAAGUUUUGAUGUACCGAAGGAGUUCGGAGUCCCGGAUGAGAUCGAGGACAUGACGAGGAGUCUCGAAAUGGUCGAGACAUAAAGAUCGAUAUAUUGGACAACCAUAUUCGGACAUCGUAAAGGUUCCGCGUGAUUCGGGUAUUUUUCGGACUACCGGAGAGUUACGGGAAUUCGCCGGGGACUAUAUGGGCCUUAUUGGGCCAUACGGGAAUAGAGGAGAGAGGCCAAAAGGAAGGAGGCCCCCCUCUGGUCUGAAUUGGACAAGGGGUGCAACAACAACAUACAACUAUCUAGAUAAAGCAUUUAAAUGCAACAACAAAUGCGAUCAAAAUUGCAACUAAGGUAAUAAUUGAUCCAAUAGCAUAAUGAUACCAAGCCUAUUUAUUUGCGGCAUAUUUUCUAAACUUUCUAAUCUUCAAGCGCAUUGCAUCCAUCUUGAUCUUUGGAUCAUCGACGACAACAGCAACAUACAAAUCCAAUUUCAUCUUCUCUUUUCAAUUCUUUUUAAUUUUUCAUUCAAAUACUCAUUUUCUUUUUCAACUAAAUUUAACUUCUCGACAAGAGGGUCGGUGGCAAUUUCUGAUUCACAUACCUCCUAAAUAAAAAUAUAUAUGUUAGCUUGAUGGGCAUAAUUGUCAUAAACACAAAAUGCAACAAAUAGUUAUAAAAGAUAUUAUACCACAUCCGAAUCAUAAAUCAGACAAGGGCCGUCGGCGAAGGAUAUCAAAACCAUGGCACUACGUAUAACAAACAAUCAUACAAGUAAGAAAAUUAUACAAGCUACUAUCUAAAUCAUAGAAAUAAGAUUUCUUUGCACAAAAAGGAUAAGAACAAGAGCCUCACCAAGGAGGUGUCGGCGACGGGACGGCGCGGGCGAUCGAUGAUGGUGAGGACGGGAAGGCAGUAGUUAAACCACACCUACACAUAUGGAAACUAAGAAGUUAAUUUGAGCUCAAAUUACAUAUAAAUCAAAUAAACUCCCACAUAAUUACUCCCAAACCAAAACCCACAAAUGACUAUACUUAUACAGCAAGAAACAAGCUAAACUAGCAAUGAGAGAGGAAAGGACAAAGUUACUAACCUUUUAAACACUUGGAUAGAUGGGGUGCCUCAAAUCUUAACAAAUCUUGGCAGUUAGAUGACACCACUACACUACACACGGUAGGAGUUAUCUUGAACGAAACACAAGGGAAAAAAGUCGGACCCGACAAAGGUCGUCCAGGUAGGUAGCCAUCUUUGAAUUGAAUGAGUGUUCUCCAAAGUAGCUAGCUCGGUGAGAUGAUCGACAUCUUCAUCACGAACCCUAUACAAACGCCAAGCUCCAUGAGCUCAGUCCCAGCACACACACACACCCACAGUUCCACCUAAUAUAAUGGCCGGAAGCGCGAGCGCCACUCCGGUCCUCCUCGUCGUCGUGCUCGCGACCCUCGUCGCGGGGGCCAGCACGACAUCGACGCUGACGCCGCUCAGCAUCACCAACCGGUGCUCCUUCACGGUGUGGCCGGCGGUGGCCUCCGCAGGCCUCGGCACCGAGCUCCAUCCGGGAGCCGACUGGACCGUGGACGCGUCGGUGAUCCACUACACCGCGGACAUAUGGGGGCGCACGGGGUGCUCCUUCGACGCGGCAGGCAGGGGGCGGUGCCAGACGGCGGACUGCGGCAGCGGGCUGCGGUGCCGGAGCACCGACCUUGCGGCACCGGCGACCAAGGCCCAGGUCGCCAUCUCCGAGGGCUUCUACCACUACGGCAUCACGUUGGACAAGGAGUUCAACCUGCCCAUGGAUCUCACGUGCAGCUCCGGCGACGCGCUCCGGUGCCGGGAGGACGGGCGCCACGAUGCGUUCCCGUACGUGAAGUACAACGACCACUCGUGCACCGCCGUCGGCAGCCGGCUCCAGACCGUCUUCUGCCCAUGAUGAGCUAGCUAGCGGCAGAAUGUAAACAUAUAACCUACACAUAUACUACGUGUAGUAGUACAUACUCAGACGUGUCAUGUAUUCUCAGCGGUACGUACGUACACAUAUGAACGCACGUGCGAGUUUCCAAUAAAAUUGCCAUGUGUGAUGUGCCUUUGAUAUAUUGUUCUUUUUUAUCGAAUGCUUUUGAUAUAUUGUUCUUUUUUAUUGAAUGC